Molecule: transfer RNA, 85 nt
Filed under: Terriglobus saanensis SP1PR4
Lineage: Bacteria; Pseudomonadati; Acidobacteriota; Terriglobia; Terriglobales; Acidobacteriaceae
Rfam family: tRNA
About the family: Transfer RNA (tRNA) molecules are approximately 80 nucleotides in length.
Source: Rfam by way of RNAcentral
GGAGAGAUGGCAGAGUGGCCGAAUGCGCACGCUUGGAAAGCGUGUAUACCGCAAGGUAUCCAGGGUUCGAAUCCCUGUCUCUCCG